GUGGGGUUUUGCAGGGUGCUCGCUCCCAGAGGCACCCCUCGCUCCAGGCCCGGAGGGCCCCGCAGGGUUGAUGGGUGACCGCAGAGGCCGAAGGGCCAAGGGCAGAUUUACGGAGGCGCGAACCUGGGCAUCUCUUGUGCGCUCAGAGCACCGCCGGAUUGGGGGGCCAUGGAUCUGCCAACUUGACCCUGCCAGCCUGGGAAGAUCGGAGCCUCAAGAUUUUCUGUGGCUCUAAGGACCUGGCCCUGGCCCCCAAGCUUCCUCUGCAUGCAAGCUCCCUGGAAAAACCUUCCUGAUCCUUCCAGCCCACCAUUUGCAUGAAGCUCCUGACCUCCCAGCCCAUCACCUCCCCCCAAUCCCCCCCUCCUCCCCAGCAACCUCUUCUCAAACAGGAAGAUUUUAGGCUGGGUGGAAGGAGGAAGAGCAAAUCUGGAAUCAGACCAAUCUGAGGCCAGGUGCCGCUCUAGCUUGUGACUUUGAGCGCUUACGUCUCAGAGCCGUUGACCAGUCACAAGCAGAUAAUCAGAUCCAAGUAUAGGGUGUUUUUAGGAAUUAGUGAGAUCCCACAGGUACAUAGGAGAGAGUCCAUACACCCCAGUUUGCCUGGGACGGUCCCAAGUUCCACCUGCGGCUCCAGCGUCAUUGUCAGCCGUGCCCUUUAUGCUCCAAAGUAUCCCCUUUAGAUUAUAAAUUAUAGGGUCACCCCAGAAAUAAGUAAGGCAGCAGGAAGCUUUUUUCCCUUCUCUUCCUCUUGCCCUCCCUUCUCUGAUGAUUCAAUGCCUGGCUUUGUUGCUCCAUUAGUCUGCACUCCCAAAGAGAAAAAUCCCAUGGGACACCCGGGUGGCUCAGUCUGUUAAGCGUCUGACUUCGGCUCAGGUCGUGAUCUCACGGUUCGUGGGUUCGAGCCCCGCAUCGGGCUCUGUGCCGACAGCUCGGAGCCUGGAGUCCGCUUCGGAUUCUGUGUCUCCCUCUUUCUCUGCCCCUCCCCACUCUCGCUCUGUUUCCCUCUCUCAAAACAUGAAUAAACAUUAAAAAAAAUUUUUUUU
Molecule: long non-coding RNA, 1046 nt
Filed under: Felis catus (domestic cat)
Lineage: Eukaryota; Metazoa; Chordata; Mammalia; Carnivora; Felidae
Description: lncRNA (ENSFCAG00000051945.1)
Rfam family: tRNA (bases 835-919)
Source: RNAcentral